AGAGUUUGAUCCUGGCUCAGAACGAACGCUGGCGGCAGGCUUAACACAUGCAAGUCGAACGCCCCGCAAGGGGAGUGGCAGACGGGUGAGUAACACGUGGGAACGUACCUUUCGGUUCGGAAUAACUCAGGGAAACUUGAGCUAAUACCGGAUACGUCCGCAAGGAGAGAGAUUUAUUGCCGAAAGAUCGGCCCGCGUAGGAUUAGCUAGUUGGUGAGGUAAUGGCUCACCAAGGCGACGAUCCUUAGCUGGUCUGAGAGGAUGAUCAGCCACACUGGGACUGAGACACGGCCCAGACUCCUACGGGAGGCAGCAGUGGGGAAUAUUGGACAAUGGGCGAAAGCCUGAUCCAGCCAUGCCGCGUGAAUGAUGAAGGCCUUAGGGUUGUAAAGUUCUUUCAACGGUGAAGAUAAUGACGGUAACCGUAGAAGAGUCCAGAUCGGCG
This 445-nucleotide ribosomal RNA is filed under the name uncultured Methylosinus sp. RNAcentral's name for it is "bacterial SSU rRNA". It matches the Rfam family "Bacterial small subunit ribosomal RNA", at positions 8 to 505 of the family's 1533-position model. The record is from RNAcentral. Lineage: Bacteria; Pseudomonadati; Pseudomonadota; Alphaproteobacteria; Hyphomicrobiales; Methylocystaceae.